GUGAUCAUUUUUUUGUUUUCUUAUGGCCUUAUACAGCUGGUUGAGUUCGGUCUUAGUGCCAGCAUCGGUUUGUGGUGGAAAGCACGAAGAGAGAAGAGAUGGAACUUCACCAGGAAGUCCACUAUUCUCCCGGUGUGGACUCUGAGAAGGUGAUCUCCUCUCUCUCUCUCCAAAGGGUGUGCUCAGCGUCAAGGAUCCCUACUGCCCAUGCCAGCUGUCCAGGAAAGAGGGCUCUCCAUGGCCAUCAGCAAGAAGUAAACUCCCCAUGAGUAAACUUCCAACAUUGUGUGAU
Long non-coding RNA from Oncorhynchus masou masou (cherry salmon), 292 nucleotides. RefSeq lists it as uncharacterized. The transcript is spliced from 3 exons. Lineage: Eukaryota; Metazoa; Chordata; Actinopteri; Salmoniformes; Salmonidae. The record is from RefSeq and is a predicted model, not a curated record.